Molecule: non-coding RNA, 285 nt
Organism: Pantherophis guttatus
Lineage: Eukaryota; Metazoa; Chordata; Lepidosauria; Squamata; Colubridae
Source: RefSeq, a predicted model, not a curated record
CCCUACUGAAUCAUUUUGUACUUCCUUUUUUUAAUUUCCUUCUGUUAUUUUUACACAUUAGAAUCUACAGUACUGACUACUAUGAACCCAGCCCAGAUAAUUACGGUAGCUUAAAGACCAGUGAGACCUGAAAGCCAGAACAUUGAAUGUGUCUUGCAGUUUAAGAGGAGAGGAGAAGCAGCGCCUGCUCUGGAAAUGACUAUGCAUACAGUUAUCCUGGGUCAUAUGAUUUACUAGGGAAAAUAGUUCUUUUGCUUACUUAAAUUCAAUAUUCCCUUGAAUCAA